UGGAUUAGAUGAGUAUUGGUGGAGGUAUCUUAGUAACUUUGAUGAAGCCCUCUUAACUCUGAGGUCCAU
RNAcentral lists this small nucleolar RNA (69 nucleotides) under Vicugna pacos (alpaca). RNAcentral describes it as "Small nucleolar RNA SNORD113/SNORD114 family (ENSVPAG00000018117.1)". Lineage: Eukaryota; Metazoa; Chordata; Mammalia; Artiodactyla; Camelidae. The record is from RNAcentral.